This is a small nucleolar RNA of Rattus norvegicus (Norway rat), 131 nucleotides long. Ensembl annotates it as small nucleolar RNA SNORA17. The record is from Ensembl. NCBI's taxonomy places the organism in Eukaryota, Metazoa, Chordata, Mammalia, Rodentia, Muridae.
CCUGCACCUAGAGACAUGGCAGGUGUGACUGAUGUGUCACAUGAGCAUCAGUAGUGACAGAGAAGAGAGAGGCUAUGUCUAUGCUCAGUGUUCUGACCGGUGAGCAUCUGAAAGAUUAGUAGCCUAACACU